GCGAUGUGUUGAUACAGGGGAGACAGAUGGACAUCUGGGUAUUAGGUGAAGGAGGGGUUGAGGUCAGGACAGCGAUGUGUUGAUACUGGGGAGACAGAUGGACAUCUGGGUAUUAGGUGAAGGAGGGGUUGAGGUCAGGACAGAGAUGUGUUGAUACAUGGGGAGACAGAUGGACAUCUGUGGAUUAGGUGAAGGAGGGGUUGAGGUCAGGAGGUGAGGACAGAGAUGUGUUGAUACAUGGGGAGACAGAUGGACAUCUGUGGAUUAGGUGAAGGAGGGGUUGAGGUCAGGAGGUGAGGACAGAGAUGUGUUGAUACAUGGGGAGACAGAUGGACAUCUGUGGAUUAGGUGAAGGAGGGGUUGAGGUCAGGAGGUGAGGACAGCGAUGUGUUGAUACUGGGGAGACAGAUGGAC
Oncorhynchus tshawytscha (Chinook salmon) is the source of this 414-nucleotide long non-coding RNA. Lineage: Eukaryota; Metazoa; Chordata; Actinopteri; Salmoniformes; Salmonidae. The record is from Ensembl.